GGGUUUUAGGCUUAAUUUUUAUUAUAUAUGAGUCCAAUAUUGUAUUUAUCAGCUCUUUUUAUUUUUUAUUUUUUAUUCCAAAUUUUUUUAUACUUAUUAAGUAUUUUAAGUUAUUUAGGAGUUUUUGUCAAUAAGAAAGUUUAGUUUAAAACUACUUCUUGUUUAGGUUAAUUAGAGUUCUAAUAUACCUAAGAGUUCUAUUUAGAUUUAUU
This 212-nucleotide long non-coding RNA is filed under the name Gossypium raimondii (Peruvian cotton). Its description in RNAcentral is "long non-coding RNA (GRAI_LNC006106)". Lineage: Eukaryota; Viridiplantae; Streptophyta; Magnoliopsida; Malvales; Malvaceae. The record is from RNAcentral.